CGAAUGAAGCGCGAGAUCGCUCAAUUCGUGAAUGAAUGUGAUGUCUGCAGAAGAGUGAAGGCAGAACACCAAAGGCCAGCUGGUCUCCUCCAACCUCUUGCCAUUCCAGAAUGGAAGUUUGACCACAUUGAAAUGGACUUCGUGACUGGGUUUCCAAAGUCCAAGCGUGGCAAUGAUGCUAUAUUUGUUGUCAUCGACAAGCUCACCAAAGUGGCUCAUUUUCUGCCUAUCAAAGAGUCGAUCACUGCAGCUCAAUUGGCGGAACUCUAUUCCUCUCGCAUUGUCUCUCUGCACGGUAUUCCUCAAGUGAUAUCUUCA
This 318-nucleotide ribosomal RNA is filed under the name Triticum aestivum (bread wheat). RNAcentral's name for it is "partial small subunit ribosomal RNA". The record is from RNAcentral. Lineage: Eukaryota; Viridiplantae; Streptophyta; Magnoliopsida; Poales; Poaceae.